Molecule: long non-coding RNA, 1012 nt
Filed under: Sorghum bicolor (sorghum)
Lineage: Eukaryota; Viridiplantae; Streptophyta; Magnoliopsida; Poales; Poaceae
Description: long non-coding RNA (SBIC_LNC009525)
Source: RNAcentral
UUCAACAAAUCCACCAAUACUGAUCUUCCCACUUGCCAGUCGUACUCAGCAGGACAAUGAGGACCGAGCGCGCUGCUCUUUGCAUUGUCAUGUUGAUUAUGUCUUCAACACUCUUGUCCUGCUUUCCUUGUAAGUAUAUAACUUCUUUUGUACUUACAUUAAUUCCACUCCAUCGUGGUCUGUAAAGUCAAAUUGUGGAUGCAUGCAGUUCCGGUAUGUCAUUUCCAUUUACCUGGGUGCACUGAACCGCUUUGCCAAACAAAAUGCUCUGAGUAUGCCAAUAAGGUUAACAAAGAGGUAAAGAGCUCCAAAUGUGAUAAGCCGGAUAUUUGCCACUGUGAGUUGUCUACCAAGCAGCAUCUGCCACUUACGACCGAAGUCAUGGGAUUGGCUGAUGCAUUGGACAAUAAUGGAACUUCUGUUUGAAUAUAAUAUAUAGGACUAAAAUUGUUACCAACGAUGGAUAGGGUGGUUACAUUGAGGCAGACAAUACUGUAUUGCUAGCCCUUGCGUGUACUUUAUUGUUGACCUGUUUCCAUCCAAUUAUAAUAAAAUGAUUGUGCAUCUUUCCUAUACUUCUGCUCCAUCCAAUUAUAAUAAAAUGUUUUGGUUACGACUAAGUUAUUUCAGACCAUGCUGAUUGCUGAGUUUGGUACUUUCAAAAUAGCCCUUGGGUUUGGUCGAAGCCAGACCAAGAACUCCUUUGCACAAGACCACCCAUGAAUCAAUCGGACUAUUGUGCACCACGUUGCCUGACACCAAUGACCUUGCGGCAGUUUGCUCUCCCUAAAAAAAGGCUAAUGGUCAUGGCUCUACCUGAUGGGAACAGGACUGGGGAAAAAACUCCCAUGGCUGAUGAGCGACUGCCAGGGUUGGUGACAGACUCGUUUUGGGAUAUCAGCGCAAUUAGUGGUAGCAUGUGGGGAUAAACUGUUGGGGAUGAGCGAGUCCAAGAUUUUAUAUGUAUUGGACGGUUCCCAUUUGUUGGGCCAUUAGUAUAGCACGCUGCAAA